Molecule: ribosomal RNA, 301 nt
Filed under: uncultured bacterium
Lineage: Bacteria
Description: partial 16S ribosomal RNA
Rfam family: Bacterial small subunit ribosomal RNA
Source: RNAcentral
CAGUAGCCACGGGAACACAGAGGGUGCGAGCGUUAAUCGGAUUUACUGGGCGUAAAGCGUGCGUAGGCGGCUUCUUAAGUCGGAUGUGAAAUCCCUGAGCUUAACUUAGGAAUUGCAUUCGAUACUGGGAAGCUAGAGUAUGGGAGAGGAUGGUAGAAUUCCAGGUGUAGCGGUGAAAUGCGUAGAGAUCUGGAGGAAUACCGAUGGCGAAGGCAGCCAUCUGGCCUAAUACUGACGCUGAGGUACGAAAGCAUGGGGAGCAAACAGGAUUAGAUACCCGCGUAGUCCCUGUCUCUUAUAC